AUUGAACGCUGGCGGCGGGCCUAACACAUGCAAGUCGAACGGUAACACGAGGAACUUUGCUGUUUUGCUUUCGCGUGGGGGACGGGUGUGUAAUGUCUGGGACACUGCUUGAUGGCGGGGGUUAACUCGUGGAAACGGUAGCUAAUCCCGCAUAACGUUGCAACCCCAAAGAGGGGGAGUUUCAGGCGUUUUGGCUUUCGAUUUUCCAUGGAGGGAUUCGCUAGUAGGUAGGGUGAAGGUUCACCAAGGCGACGAUCCCUAGCUGGUCUGAGAGGAUGAAGAGCCACACUGGAACUGAGACACGGUCCAGACUCCUACGGGAGGCAGCAGUAGGGAAUAUUGCGCAAUGGGCGCAAGCCUGAUGCAGCCACGCCGCGUGUAUGAAGAAGGUCUUCGGAUUGUAAAGCACUGUUAUCGGGGAAGAAGGGAUGAGAAUGAAAACCUUCACUCAUUGACGGUACCCAAACAAAAAGCACCGGCUAACUCCGUG
Molecule: ribosomal RNA, 490 nt
Filed under: uncultured bacterium
Lineage: Bacteria
Description: partial 16S ribosomal RNA
Rfam family: Bacterial small subunit ribosomal RNA
Source: RNAcentral